ACCUUCAUCGUGUAACGGUAGCACGCUCGGCUUGUAUUCGAGAGGACCUGGUUCGAGUCCCGGAAAAGGCA
RNAcentral lists this transfer RNA (71 nucleotides) under Stegodyphus mimosarum. It matches the Rfam family "tRNA". From Rfam's summary of the family: Transfer RNA (tRNA) molecules are approximately 80 nucleotides in length. Lineage: Eukaryota; Metazoa; Arthropoda; Arachnida; Araneae; Eresidae. The record is from Rfam by way of RNAcentral.